AUUGAACGCUGGCGGAAUGCUUUACACAUGCAAGUCGAACGGCAGCACGGACUUCGGUCUGGUGGCGAGUGGCGACCGGGUGAGUAAUGUAUCGGAACGUGUCCAGCCGUGGGGGAUAACGUAGUGAAAAUUACGCUAAUACCGCAUCCGACCUAUGGAUGACAGGGUGGGGUCGAAAGACCUUGCGCGUCUGGAGCGGCCGCUAUCAGAUUAGGUAGUUGGUGAGGUAAAGGCCCACCAAGCCAACGAUCUGUAGCUGGUCUGAGAGGACGACCAGCCACACUGGAACUGAGACACGGUCCAGACUCCUACGGGAGGCAGCAGUGGGGAAUUUUGGACAAUGGGCGAAAGCCUGAUCCAGCCAUUCCGCGUGCAGUAUGAAGGCCCUCGGGUUGUAAACUGCUUUUGUACAGAACGAAAAGGUUUCUACUAAUACUAGGAGCUCAUGACUGUACUGUAAGAAUAAGCACCGGCUAACUACGUGCCAGCCGCCGCCGUAA
RNAcentral lists this ribosomal RNA (500 nucleotides) under uncultured bacterium. Its description in RNAcentral is "partial 16S ribosomal RNA". It matches the Rfam family "Bacterial small subunit ribosomal RNA", at positions 30 to 523 of the family's 1533-position model. The record is from RNAcentral.